This 911-nucleotide ribosomal RNA is filed under the name uncultured bacterium. Its description in RNAcentral is "bacterial SSU rRNA". It matches the Rfam family "Bacterial small subunit ribosomal RNA", at positions 69 to 974 of the family's 1533-position model. The record is from RNAcentral.
GCAGCACAGACUUCGGUCUGGUGGCGAGUGGCGAACGGGUGAGUAAUAUAUCGGAACGUAUCCAAUAAUGGGGGAUAACUAAUCGAAAGGUUGGCUAAUACCGCAUACGCCCUACGGGGGAAAGCUAGGGAUCUUCGGACCUGGCGUUAAUGGAGCGGCCGAUAUCUGAUUAGCUAGUUGGUGAGGUAAGAGCUCACCAAGGCGACGAUCAGUAGCUGGUCUGAGAGGACGACCAGCCACACUGGAACUGAGACACGGUCCAGACUCCUACGGGAGGCAGCAGUGGGGAAUUUUGGACAAUGGGCGCAAGCCUGAUCCAGCCAUUCCGCGUGAGUGAAGAAGGCCUUCGGGUUGUAAAGCUCUUUCGCAAGGGAAGAAAACUUAGUUACUAAUAUUAACUGAGGUUGACGGUACCUUGAUAAGAAGCACCGGCUAACUACGUGCCAGCAGCCGCGGUAAUACGUAGGGUGCGAGCGUUAAUCGGAAUUACUGGGCGUAAAGCGUGCGCAGGCGGUUUUGUAAGUCAGAUGUGAAAUCCCCGAGCUCAACUUGGGAACUGCGUUUGAAACUACAAGACUAGAAUAUGUCAGAGGGGGGUAGAAUUCCACGUGUAGCAGUGAAAUGCGUAGAGAUGUGGAGGAAUACCAAUGGCGAAGGCAGCCCCCUGGGAUAAUAUUGACGCUCAUGCACGAAAGCGUGGGGAGCGAACAGGAUUAGAUACCCUGGUAGUCCACGCCCUAAACGAUGUCUACUAGUUGUUGGUGGAGUAAAAUCCAUGAGUAACGCAGCUAACGCGUGAAGUAGACCGCCUGGGGAGUACGGUCGCAAGAUUAAAACUCAAAUGAAUUGANGGGGGCCCGCACAAGCGGUGGAUUAUGUGGAUUAAUUCGAUGCAACGCGAAAAANNUUAC